ACACUCCUACGGGAGGCAGCAGUGGGGAAUUUUGGACAAUGGGCGAAAGCCUGAUCCAGCAAUGCCGCGUGAGUGAAGAAGGCCUUCGGGUUGUAAAGCUCUUUUGUCAGGGAAGAAACGGUGAAAGCUAAUAUCUUUUGCUAAUGACGGUACCUGAAGAAUAAGCACCGGCUAACUACGUGCCAGCAGCCGCGGUAAUACGUAGGGUGCAAGCGUUAAUCGGAAUUACUGGGCGUAAAGCGUGCGCAGGCGGUUUUGUAAGUCUGAUGUGAAAUCCCCGGGCUCAACCUGGGAAUUGCAUUGGAGACUGCAAGGCUAGAAUCUGGCAGAGGGGGGUAGAAUUCCACGUGUAGCAGUGAAAUGCGUAGAUAUGUGGAGGAACACCGAUGGCGAAGGCAGCCCCCUGGGUCAAGAUUGACGCUCAUGCACGAAAGCGUGGGGAGCAAACAGGAUUAGAAACCCGUGUAGUCCCA
Molecule: ribosomal RNA, 473 nt
Filed under: uncultured organism
Description: partial 16S ribosomal RNA
Rfam family: Bacterial small subunit ribosomal RNA
Source: RNAcentral